This 21-nucleotide non-coding RNA is filed under the name Caenorhabditis elegans. Lineage: Eukaryota; Metazoa; Nematoda; Chromadorea; Rhabditida; Rhabditidae. The record is from RNAcentral.
UGGGUUACGAGUUUUAAAAUU